UACGGAGGGUGCAAGCGUUAUCCGGAUUCACUGGGUUUAAAGGGUGCGUAGGAGGGCAGGUAAGUCAGUGGUGAAAAUCCUGGAGCUCAACUCCAGAACUGCCUUUGAUACUGAAGAUCUUGAGUUCGGGAGAGGUGAGUGGAACUGCGAGUGUAGAGGUGAAAUUCGUAGAUAUUCGCAAGAACACCAGUGGCGAAGGCGGCUCACUGGCCCGAUACUGACGCUGAGGCACGGAAAGCGUGGGGAGCAAACAGG
RNAcentral lists this ribosomal RNA (255 nucleotides) under uncultured bacterium. Its description in RNAcentral is "partial 16S ribosomal RNA". It matches the Rfam family "Bacterial small subunit ribosomal RNA", at positions 524 to 776 of the family's 1533-position model. The record is from RNAcentral.